GGAUUUAUUCCCAAAUUCCCUCAGUCCUGCUUGGUCCUGAUUUUAAAAUUCCAGAGUUCCCAUCCUGGCCCUGAAUCCUCUCAGCAGCUCCAGCUCUGAAUGGGUCAAAAUCAGGGAAAAUCUGAAUUUAUGCUGGGGAUGGUUUGGGGGAACAAUGAGCUGAGUUCAGGGGGUCAGGAAAGGUUUAAAAAUGGGGCAGCUGAGGAGCUUUAAUCAAUUUGAAAUUUUUCCAGGCAGAGAGAGGGGGGAGAGAGGCACAGUGCAAAAAUCUGAAAUUCCUGAGAGGUUUUUUUCCUUUUUUUCUCCCUUUUUUUAAAAAAUAUUCCCUCCAGUGAUGCCCCCAAAGGUCCAAGAGCCCUGAGGUGAGGGAGGGAAGGAAUCUGUCCCAUGCUGGAAACUUCUGGAGCUGUAAGAAAAAAAUAACAAAAAAAAACCAAACAAAAACCCCAAGCUGGUGCUUUGCUUUCCUGUCCUUCUGUUUGGGAAGUGUUGAUUCUUCUAACAGAUCCUAAAAGCUCCAAAGGGACCCGGGAAUUUGGGAAUUUGCUGGAGAAUUCUUUCAUCUCAGAGGGGAGGAGUGGGAGCAGUUUAUGAGGGACUGGCAGAGUCUUUGGCUGUGUGACUUUGGGAGGGGUUGGUGUCACCUCUGUCACCCAGAAAUGACCAAUUCUGUGUUUAUCUGACCUGAGCAGAUCUGGGGGGAUCCCCUGCACUUUUGGGGGUGCUGCUGGAGCAGAAGCAGCGCUGACAACCUGUCCAAGGAGGAAUUUUGGGCUUUUUGGAGCCCAGCAGAGCAGGGAGAGCCAGCCCCGAGCCCAGCCUAGCUGGGAAUCACAUCCCAGCCUUCCCACCUGAGGAGCUGGAUGGGUUUGGGGUGGAACUCUUGGGUUUGGAUGGUUUGGGGUGGAACUGUUGGAUUUUGGGGCCCAGCCCAGCCCAGCCCUGCCGGGGUGCUGGCCCAGCAUGCUCCGUGUGACUGCAAACGCUCUGUACAGAGGGGCCAGGGUUUUUUAUAUAUAUAUUUUGGGAUGGGGGGAGGGAGGAGGGAGGGUGCAGAUCCUAAAAGCAGCUUAAGCCAGACUUCAAUGUGUGUAAAAACAAAAAAACAACCCCCAAACCUUCGGUGUGUGAGUGCGAGCAGGAGCGGCUGCCAUCCCAUUAUCCCAUCCCAUCCCAUCCCAGUAUCCCAUCCCAUCCCAUCAUCCCAUCCCAUUAUCCCAUCCCAUCCCCUUUGUGUUCUCAGCAGUUGGGAGCUUUUAUUUUCUUUUUUUCUUUUUUUUUUUUUUUUUAAUCCCCUUUUCCUGCAGAAGCAAUUGUUACAAAAAGAAAAAGAAUUGUAAAUAAGAGCUAAUUUUUGUUGUUGUUGUUGUUUGCCACGGUGUCACAGCAAACCCUGUGAAGGUGGAGGAGGAGACUGGCAGCAUUUUCUGGUGUGCAAGGAAUAUUUUGUCUUGAGUAUCUGCAAUCCCCUGGUCAGCUUUUAGAAGAAAAAAAAAAUGAUUAAAAAAAAAAAAUAAUAAAAAUCAGGCUCUUUGCA
Molecule: long non-coding RNA, 1537 nt
Filed under: Serinus canaria (Common canary)
Lineage: Eukaryota; Metazoa; Chordata; Aves; Passeriformes; Fringillidae
Description: lncRNA (ENSSCAG00000011501.1)
Source: RNAcentral